GACGAACGCUGGCGGUAUGCCUAACACAUGCAAGUCGUACGAGAUCCCCCUUUCCUCGGAAAGGAAGAUUGCAGUGGCGGACGGGUGAGUAACGCGUAAGAACUUACCUUUUGGUGGGGGAUAACAGCGGGAAACUGCUGCUAAUACCCCAUAAUGCUGAGGAGCUAAAAGAUAAAACUGCCAAGAGAGAGGCUUGCGUCUGAUUAGCUAGUUGGUGGGGUAAUGGCCUCCCAAGGCGACGAUCAGUAGCUGGUCUGAGAGGAUGAUCAGCCACACUGGGACUGAGACACGGCCCAGACUCCUACGGGUGGCUG
This 314-nucleotide ribosomal RNA is filed under the name uncultured cyanobacterium. RNAcentral describes it as "bacterial SSU rRNA". It matches the Rfam family "Bacterial small subunit ribosomal RNA", at positions 28 to 351 of the family's 1533-position model. The record is from RNAcentral. Lineage: Bacteria; Bacillati; Cyanobacteriota.